Long non-coding RNA from Culex quinquefasciatus (southern house mosquito), 935 nucleotides. RefSeq lists it as uncharacterized. The record is from RefSeq and is a predicted model, not a curated record. NCBI's taxonomy places the organism in Eukaryota, Metazoa, Arthropoda, Insecta, Diptera, Culicidae. The transcript is spliced from 2 exons.
AAUUGUGUUUUUUUGUCGCAAAAAAUUUGCCUUUCCGUGCACCAAAAGUUGCACGCAAGCAACCCCCCUCGUUAAAAACCCCUCGUUCGUCGACACAGCACAGAUCGACGAAAAAAGCUUUGACGGCGCACCAGUCAAAGUGACAGCUGUCGGCGAACUCAAAACGAGCUGCUCACAGCAGCACAUCAAAUUCCGGUCUUUUUGAUCGUCGUCUGCUGAACGGUGCGCACGCACCUGCGGUUUUGCUGCUCGUCGGCCGACGCCAAGUGCCGCACAAAUUAUCAACCUCGGCCAACGACGCCGCCGGAAAAAAAAGGCCCCAGAAGGGGCCUUUUAUUUGCAGCGAUCUAAACCCGGGCAAAUGCCACGCCGAACGGAGAACAACAAAAUGGCCGAUUCACGAGGCGUCAUCAGAAAAGGGCAUCCACGCCUGCUGCGAUCGGGGAAGUGCUUCGCCAGCGACCGGGUCGGGCACGCAAGAGUCCGCGCAAGGACGGAGCGGCCUGGACGUUCGUCCAUUCUCACAUACCGAAGGCGGUCAGCGGUGGCGGAGCGGAUUGGCCCAGAUGCCGCGAGGAAGCGGAAAAGAAGAAAAGCGGUGCUUGUGAGGGAAAGUGUUGGCUGGUCGGGUCGAAGUGAAGAAUUCCGCGUGGGCGCGGGCAAAAGGCGACACGCCACGCGGCGUUUGGCGAUCAGAGGGUGAACCAGUGCAAGGUUAUGCGGAGGAGGAGAAGAGAGAGGAGCGGGGGAAGGAAAAAAAAAAGAUGGAGGAAGGAAAAGAAGGAAAAGUGCAAUAAGCCGGAAAGGCGCGUGAAGCGCGGGAAAAGGAAGAAGAAUGAAGGGAAAGUGACGGGAAGAGGAUGAGGAAGUUUUUGUAAGCGCACACACACACACUAACACAAUCAAACGAUUCAAUACACAUGCUGAAACAUAAA